GAUGAACGCUAGCUACAGGCUUAACACCUGAAGGGGCAUCCUUUUGGGUUGAAAGUUCCGGCGGUUUGAGAUGGACAUGCGUUGUAUUAGCUAGUUGGUGGGGUAACGGCUCACCAAGGCGACGAUACAUAGGGGGACUGAGAGGUUAACCCCCCACAUUGGUACUGAGACACGGACCAAACUCCUACGGGAGGCAGCAGUGAGGAAUAUUGGUCAAUGGACGCAAGUCUGAACCAGCCAUGCCGCGUGCAGGAUGACGGCUCUAUGAGUUGUAAACUGCUUUUGUAUGAGGGUAAUAUCAGGUACGUGUACCUGCUUGAAAGUAUCAUACGAAUAAGGAUCGGCUAACUCCGUG
Molecule: ribosomal RNA, 355 nt
Filed under: uncultured bacterium
Lineage: Bacteria
Description: bacterial SSU rRNA
Rfam family: Bacterial small subunit ribosomal RNA
Source: RNAcentral